AUUGAACGCUGGCGGAAUGCUUUACACAUGCAAGUCGAACGGCAGCACGGGGGCAACCCUGGUGGCGAGUGGCGAACGGGUGAGUAAUACAUCGGAACGUGCCCGGUCGUGGGGGAUAACGUAGCGAAAGUUACGCUAAUACCGCAUACGAUCUGAGGAUGAAAGCGGGGGACCUUCGGGCCUCGCGCGAUCGGAGCGGCCGAUGUCAGAUUAGGUAGUUGGUGGGGUAAAGGCCUACCAAGCCGACGAUCUGUAGCUGGUCUGAGAGGACGACCAGCCACACUGGGACUGAGACACGGCCCAGACUCCUACGGGAGGCAGCAGUGGGGAAUUUUGGACAAUGGGCGCAAGCCUGAUCCAGCCAUUCCGUGUGCAGGACGAAGGCCUUCGGGUUGUAAACUGCUUUUGUAUGGAACGAAAAGGCUCUGGCUAAUACCUGGGGCUCAUGACGGUACCGUAAGAAUAAGCACCGGCUAACUACGUG
This 484-nucleotide ribosomal RNA is filed under the name uncultured bacterium. RNAcentral's name for it is "partial 16S ribosomal RNA". It matches the Rfam family "Bacterial small subunit ribosomal RNA", at positions 30 to 507 of the family's 1533-position model. The record is from RNAcentral.